RNAcentral lists this long non-coding RNA (1370 nucleotides) under Ursus americanus (American black bear). Its description in RNAcentral is "lncRNA (ENSUAMG00000011749.1)". The record is from RNAcentral. Lineage: Eukaryota; Metazoa; Chordata; Mammalia; Carnivora; Ursidae.
GCUAUCGGGUGUCUUUCUUCUCACAUGGAAAUUGCCUGGGAAGCUACUGAAAUGUUGGCUCUGGAGUCAGCUGGCUGUCCUGAGCUUUUGAGUCCCUUGGAAGGAUUCCGGGGAGUUGGCCGAUAGGCUCCAGGACCUGGGGAGCAGGGAGGAUGAUGGCAGGACCGAGGCUGAUGGCGGCCCCUCUGUGCCAGGCGCUCUCUGGUGAUCUGCGACCUGCUGGCUGGGGGUCCCGUUCUACACACAGGGAAAUGGAAGUCCUCAGAGACAAAACAACACCCAGGGACUGGGGGAGUGCACAGAGCAGGAUUUGAACCCAGGUCCUGUCCUCGCCAGUCCAGCGGAGAGCCGACCCCGCAGAACAAAGCAGUGGCUCCCGGCCUCUCCUCCCCCCGGACUAGUCCAUCUUCCUCCCUUCGCUGUGCUUCUGUGGCUCUGCUCCUGCCAGAUUCAUACCGGCUAAGAAAACCACUUCUAAAGAGCUUUAAACAAGAACUGCGUUUUGUUUAUUUUCCCCUUUACUCAUUCCAUUUCCAAGACAGUAUAAAGUAUUGCUUAAAAAAGCUGGAGUUUUCUUCCUUGAUCCCAUGCCGCAGAAGUGACUGCAGCUGAUGACCUGGCGUGCGCAGCACCAGACUUUGUUUCUAGGCAAAUAGGAACCUUUAAAGAUACAGGUAGAUAUCUACGCACAGAGGACUUUUUAUUUAUACAGAACGAGUAUAUAUAAGCCGACGUAUUAUAGCAACGUUUAUAAAAGCCGAAGACUGGAAACACCUGCCAUGGAACCACCCGAGUAGGGGUCCAGUUCGAUCUAUGAUAUAGCCUUCGAUAGAAUUAGUGCGUGUCUGUUAGGAAAAGAGCCGUGCACGUACAGCCGUGGAGCUGCUCACAGUAUGUCGUUCAGGUAAAAAAGUGAAGGACAAAGCGUAUGCAUCAUGUGGACUCACUUAAUUUCCUUGGCAGCUUCACGUGGCUGCACCUCUGGCGUGGGCAGCCCUUGCAGGCACAGCCCAGAGUUCCCUGUGCGGCUUUGACAGCAGCGUCAGUGGCUGGAGGUCUCUGGCCUAAGCUGCCUGUGACAUCAGGACACCUCCGGAGAGCCAUGGCCACCCCAGAGGAAGUUACUUGCUGCCAUGUGCAGGGGAAGUCCUGUGGAAGAGAAAAAGUCUUCUCAGGACGCACAUUAAUUUUAGAAGCUUAAAACUGUUUGGAAAAUCAGGUCCCAACAGGACGGUCCGUGGGAAACUUCUGUGGUUAUCAACCAGCUUCCUCUGCCAAAGGAGAAAGCAGCGUGCCCCAGUGCUUCCAGCUGUUGCCAAGGCGACUUCUGCCUCCAUCCACGUGCCAGGUAAGAAACUCGGAGGACUGUG